AUACGGAGGGGACAAGCGUUAUUCGGAAUCACUGGGCGUAAAGGACGCGUAGGCGGGUUAUUAAGUCGGGUGUGAAAUCCAAUGGCUCAACCAUUGAACUGCAUUCGAAACUGAUAACCUAGAGUAUGGAAGGGGCAGGUGGAAUUAGUGGUGUAGGGGUAAAAUCCGUAGAUAUCACUAGGAAUACCGAAAGCGAAGGCGACCUGCUGGGACAUUACUGACGCUGAGGCGUGAAAGCGUGGGGAGCAAACAGGAUUAGAUACCCGAGUAGUCC
This 274-nucleotide ribosomal RNA is filed under the name uncultured bacterium. Its description in RNAcentral is "partial 16S ribosomal RNA". It matches the Rfam family "Bacterial small subunit ribosomal RNA", at positions 523 to 796 of the family's 1533-position model. The record is from RNAcentral.